AUUGAACGCUGGCGGCAUGCUUUACACAUGCAAGUCGAACGGCAGCGCGGGCUUCGGCCUGGCGGCGAGUGGCGAACGGGUGAGUAAUGCAUCGGAACGUGCCCGGUAGUGGGGGAUAGCGCGGCGAAAGCCGGAUUAAUACCGCAUACGACCUGAGGGUGAAAGCGGGGGACCGAAAGGCCUCGCGCUAUUAGAGCAGCCGAGGUCGGAUUAGCUAGUUGGUGGGGUAAAGGCUUACCAAGGCGACGAUCCGUAGCUGGUCUGAGAGGACGACCAGCCACACUGGGACUGAGACACGGCCCAGACUCCUACGGGAGGCAGCAGUGGGGAAUUUUGGACAAUGGGGGCAACCCUGAUCCAGCCAUGCCGCGUGUGGGAAGAAGGCCUUCGGGUUGUAAAGCGCUUUUGUUCGGGAAGAAAUCCUCUGGGCUAAUACCCCGGGGUGAUGACGGUACCGGAAGAAUAAGCACCGGCUAACUACGUG
Molecule: ribosomal RNA, 484 nt
Filed under: uncultured bacterium
Lineage: Bacteria
Description: partial 16S ribosomal RNA
Rfam family: Bacterial small subunit ribosomal RNA
Source: RNAcentral